GAUUUCUGGCUCGUUGCCCUAGCCCGCUUACUUCGGUGAGUGAGUGCUGGUGCAAUCUGCCAUCCUUCCAGACAGCCGUGAGUACCAUUUACUUGGCCGCUCGCGUGCGAUCUGGAUCAUUUACUUUGAAAAAAUUAGAGUGUUUAAAGCAGGCUUACGCCUUGAAUACAUUAGCAUGGAAUAAUAACAUAGGACUUCGGUUCUAUUUUGUUGGUUUCUAGAACCUUAGUAAUGAUUGAUAGGGAUAGUUGGGGGUGCUAGUAUUCAGCGGCCAGAGGCGAAAUUCUUGGAUUCGCUGAAGACUAACUACUGCGAAAGCAUU
Molecule: ribosomal RNA, 322 nt
Filed under: uncultured Cercozoa
Lineage: Eukaryota; Cercozoa
Description: SSU rRNA
Rfam family: Eukaryotic small subunit ribosomal RNA (bases 110-322)
Source: RNAcentral